CCGGCGAACGGGUGCGUAACACGUGAACAACCUGCCCUCGUGUGGGGGAUAGCCAUGCUAACGCGUGGGUAAUACCGCAUACGUUCCUCUGGGGGAGUCCCUGGGGGAGGGAAAGCUCCGGCGCACGGGGAGGGGUUCGCGGCCUAUCAGCUAGUUGGCGGGGUAAUGGCCCACCAAGGCGACGACGGGUAGCUGGUCUGAGAGGAUGGCCAGCCACAUUGGGACUGAGAGACGGCCCAG
RNAcentral lists this ribosomal RNA (240 nucleotides) under uncultured bacterium. RNAcentral describes it as "partial 16S ribosomal RNA". It matches the Rfam family "Bacterial small subunit ribosomal RNA", at positions 95 to 334 of the family's 1533-position model. The record is from RNAcentral.